GUUCCGGGAAAUGGUGCCUCUCGCCGCUUGCUGGAUGUUGAGCUUCCUAAGCCCCAACUGCCUUCUCUCGUUCUCCCUAAAGUUGAGCGUCCCCCUCUCCCCAAACUAGACUUCCCACAACUUCCUAAACCUGAACUACCUAAGCCCAAUAUUUCAGAAAUCCCUAAACCUCAAGUUCCGCAACUCCCUAAACCUGAAAUCCCACAAGUGCCCAAGCCUGAAUUUCCGCAAGUGCCUGAGCCUGAGAUCCCACAAUUGCCUAAGCCCGAGAUCCCUCAAGUUCCAAAGCCUGAAGUUCCACAACUCGCUAAACCCGAGAUCCCACAGUUGCCUAAGUCUGAAGUUCCGCAACUCGGUAAACCCGAGAUCCCGCAAUUGCCUAAGCCAGAAGUUCUAGAGCUCCCUCAACCUGAGCUCCCAGUACCUCCUCAAAAUGUCAAACCCACGAAAUUGCCUACUCCUUCUGCAAAAUUUGAAGUGCCAGAGCUUCCAAAACCUGAUAUUCCAUCUCUCCCUAAACCUGAACUUCCGGAGUUUCCAAAGGUUGAAAUUCCACAAUUUCCCAAGCCCGAAUUUCCGGAGCUUCCAAAACCCGAAAUGCCCCAAAUUCCAGAGUUUCCAAAACCUGAGCUGCCAUCUUUUCCAAAACCCGAAAUGCCCCAUAUUCCAGAACUUCCAAAACUUCCAUUCCCAACCCUUCCCAAAGAGACUCCACUGCCUUAUGUUCCCCAUCCGACCACCACUUCUCCUUAAAUUUUCAACACUAUUACCUAAUCGUGUGUAUUUUAUUUAAAAUUAUAUCUACCCGAUGAAGGUGGCUCCAUCCUCCAUAUGUGUUCGCGUUUGGUUUGAUUAAUUAGUGUUAUGCUUUAUUUCGGAUAUCAUGUACUUUUUCUGAUUUUUUUACCCUUACACAUGUUUACAUUUUCAUAUGUGAUGGUCUUACUAUUACUUCAUCAUCACAUCAUGUAUUCAUGUUCCGUUGAUUUAUAUAUAUCGAGAUACUCAUUACUUUGGUUUGAUAUAUCAUCCAUUCUAAUUCUUUCAAUGGUUCAAAGUACCAACGACGAGG
Molecule: long non-coding RNA, 1072 nt
Filed under: Linum usitatissimum (flax)
Lineage: Eukaryota; Viridiplantae; Streptophyta; Magnoliopsida; Malpighiales; Linaceae
Description: long non-coding RNA (LUSI_LNC003082)
Source: RNAcentral